CCCUUAGAUGUUCUGGGCCGCACGCGCGCUACACUGAUGCAUUCAACGAGUUCUACCUUGGCCGAGAGGCCUGGGCAAUCUUUUGAACCUGCAUCGUGAUAGGGAUAGAUUAUUGCAAUUAUUAAUCUUGAACGAGGAAUUCCUAGUAAACGCAAGUCAUCAGCUUGCAUUGAUUACGUCCCUGCCCUUUGUACACACCGCCCGUCGCACCUACCGAUUGAAUGGUCCGGUGAAAUCUCGGGACGGCGGCUUGGUCGCUUGCGUCCGACUGCUGAAACUUGAUUAAACCAUAUCAUUUAGAGGAAGGUGAAGUCGUAACA
Molecule: ribosomal RNA, 320 nt
Filed under: uncultured eukaryote
Lineage: Eukaryota
Description: partial 18S ribosomal RNA
Rfam family: Eukaryotic small subunit ribosomal RNA
Source: RNAcentral